GGGGGUUGUCAAAACCUGUGGAAAUGUGGCCUUUGGUGACCGGCCAUGGCAUAAUAUGACAACAUUUCUGGAGUAGUCCAGCACUGGGAAUGGUACCCUUGGGUCAGGCCGUACCAUUCCUCCUGCCGUCCUCACAUAUUCUCCCACGGUUCUGCAGAUGAAAUGUAAGAACUUCCUCCAGGUAAUCUUCCACUGGCAGGCUGCAUUGUCAACAGCAGCUGUCCUCCAGAAACUCAGUACUGUGUUUUAAAGAUCUAUUCAUAAUGAUGUGCGUACAUCUGGUUCUUAGCUUCUACUUGUUGAAGAGUCUUCAUGGUGCGUGUAACCCCUUUCACCUAUCUACUCAGCCAAUGGACACCAAGACUGCCUCCAAGUCUCUGCCACGAUGACCAUUCUCAUACAGCUUCCCUCAUGGACUCACACACCUGCAGUGGAAUUGUGCUGGAGGAGCCAAAUAGUCAAGACUGGGGAAAGGAGAGGAGGAAGAAGACCAUGAAGUAGGGAACCUACUGAUCCUAGGAGCCAUCCAGGAACUGCAACUAUUGUGUGCCUAAAUACAGGAAGGGCCAGCGACUGAGGAUGUGCCUUCUGGAUGCCUGCCACGUUUCCUGCUCAUUCACCCAAGCCUGCCGAGAUAUCAGUUUACCCAGAGAGUCAACGUACUUUUUCCACAGUGAGACCAAUUGAGAACACAAGUAUCCCAAUUUCCAGAAUUAAGUAGGAAUGUGACUUCAUUUCUGCUUGUCCCUGGAGCAACUCUGCAGAUUCACCUGGGCUGUCUAAGGCAGGAGUGAUUUUUGUAAAGAGCUGGCUGCCUGUCUGCAUGGUCUUGGAUUGCUUGCAGCCUGAAGGAACCACUGGAAAUAAAGUCUCACCUACCAAAUCAUAAUAAAUAUCUAUAUAUUUGGAGAUAGAGAUGAAAACCAUGUGGCUGUAUCCAGUUGGAGUGAAAAAUAUGAACUAUGAAGAAAGAAGGAGUUCUGCUUCUUCCAAAGGAGUGACUCCCAAAGGAACAAGAAUUGACCAUAGGUUAUGGCUUGUGUUACAAUACACCGAUGUUGUCUUUGAGGCCAUCCACUGACGUCCUCACCCAUGGCAUAAGCAAGUUUUUCUGAAGGAAGAAGCAGCAGAAUAAAUUGGAUACUUAAUGAUUGUCUACCCCUUCAAGCUAAUGUGCAUAAGAUUAACACUACUCCAUUUCCCACUACUUUGCAUCUGGGGACACUUCUUACAAGGAUUCAUAUGCCAUGAGGACUGGCAUUAUGUUGAGGUGGAAUAAAGAGCUGGUUACAUCC
This is a long non-coding RNA of Homo sapiens (human), 1295 nucleotides long. Ensembl annotates it as long intergenic non-protein coding RNA 2341. The record is from Ensembl. NCBI's taxonomy places the organism in Eukaryota, Metazoa, Chordata, Mammalia, Primates, Hominidae.